UUAAGUUCAGCGGGUAGUCCUACCUGAUUUGAGGUCAGAUCAAAAGAGUGUUCUCCAAAGGAGAGGGUUGUGAGCGGGCUCGCGCAAACCUCCUCAGCGAAACUUAUUACGCCGAUCGGGUUUACUGAUCCCACUAACGCCUUUAAGGCGAGCCGGCCAGGCCGGCAACGCCCAAAUCCAAUCACCCAACAGAGCAGAAC
RNAcentral lists this unclassified non-coding RNA (200 nucleotides) under Tremella sp. RNAcentral describes it as "partial internal transcribed spacer 2". Lineage: Eukaryota; Fungi; Basidiomycota; Tremellomycetes; Tremellales; Tremellaceae. The record is from RNAcentral.